GACGAACGCUGGCGGUGUGCUUAACGCAUGCAAGUCGAACGGAAAGGCCCUGCUUUUGUGGGGUGCUCGAGUGGCGAACGGGUGAGUAACACGUGAGUAACCUGCCCUUGACUUUGGGAUAACUUCAGGAAACUGGGGCUAAUACCGGAUAGGAGCUCCUGCUGCAUGGUGGGGGUUGGAAAGUUUCGGCGGUUGGGGGUGGACUCGCGGCUUAUCAGCUUGUUGGUGGGGUAGUGGCUUACCAAGGCUUUGACGGGUAGCCGGCCUGAGAGGGUGACCGGCCACAUUGGGACUGAGAUACGGCCCAGACUCCUACGGGAGGCAGCAGUGGGGAAUAUUGCACAAUGGGCGGAAGCCUGAUGCAGCAACGCCGCGUGCGGGAUGACGGCCUUCGGGUUGUAAACCGCUUUCGCCUGUGACGAAGCGUGAGUGACGGUAAUGGGUAAAGAAGCACCGGCUAACUACGUG
This 468-nucleotide ribosomal RNA is filed under the name uncultured bacterium. RNAcentral's name for it is "partial 16S ribosomal RNA". It matches the Rfam family "Bacterial small subunit ribosomal RNA", at positions 28 to 507 of the family's 1533-position model. The record is from RNAcentral.